Molecule: long non-coding RNA, 1025 nt
Filed under: Setaria italica (foxtail millet)
Lineage: Eukaryota; Viridiplantae; Streptophyta; Magnoliopsida; Poales; Poaceae
Description: long non-coding RNA (SITA_LNC002545)
Source: RNAcentral
CCUGUUCAUGGUCCGGGUUUCCCGGUUUCUGCUUUAUUUCCGGCCAAAACCAAGACCGAACUUGCUGGUCCGGUUUGGCCUGGUUUUGCACGGGUUGCUAGCAGCUGGGAAGGACUGCCGGUGCUGGUUUGGUCUGGCUGGUUUGAACGGGUUAUGCUGGUUUGAUUAACACUAAAAUGAGCUCCACGAAAACAUCAAUCUGAAACCAACGAAGCCAAAUGUUGCAGCCUCUUGAUCGGCAACACCAUGAAUUGUUGACAUACUUGCAGGAAAACAUUAUGCUUCCAACAAAGUAAGAUCUGCAGGAAUACAGGGAAAAGAAAUUUACAUAGCACUAUCACUCUGAACUAGUUAUGUUCAUAAUUUAGCCUAGUAUGGAAAGAGAACAGUAGGACCAGAGAUAGAAAUACAAAAAAAAGAAAUAUUCAUAACACUAUCACACUCUGAACAGCAGGACCCAACAGAGAGCACCGGGGGAAAUGAAAAAGCGCACAUGCUUUUAUCUACUACCACUAGUUGUUGAGAAAUUCUCAUACUUGUAUCAAAAGUCUGAAGCCUACUAAAGAAAAGAAACUUUAUCAUUAAUAGCAUAACAAUGAAAUCUGCACCAUAAUAAAUAAAUAAUAUUUAAUGGAGUAGGUGUUUAACAAUGACAACAGGUAGGCAUACUUUGCUAAUGCUCAGGUUACCGAAUAAUUACUACUAUGAAUGUGUAGGAUAUCUGAACCACAAUAUGACAUCGAAAUGGUUUAUCUUUCUCUGAAUUUUUCCACUGAAUUUGACUGAUAUGGAUUAACUUUCAAGAAAAGCGCAUGGUAACAAAUAAGAUAAAACUAUGACAUGGAACAAGGAGAAAGGAUAGAUACUGAAGCCGAAAAAAGAUUCAGAUCCAGAAUAGGACAAGGGGCAGGCAGGCUUUCCUAAUGCUCAGGUUACUGAAUAACUACUAUGAAUGUGCAGGAUAUCUGAACCACAAUAUGACAAGCAGAAUGGUUAUCUUUCACUGAAUUAUGCCACUGAAUUUG